This 2892-nucleotide ribosomal RNA is filed under the name Pseudomonas syringae DSM 10604. Its description in RNAcentral is "bacterial LSU rRNA". It matches the Rfam family "Bacterial large subunit ribosomal RNA". The record is from RNAcentral. Lineage: Bacteria; Pseudomonadati; Pseudomonadota; Gammaproteobacteria; Pseudomonadales; Pseudomonadaceae.
UCAAGUGAAGAAGCGCAUACGGUGGAUGCCUUGGCAGUCAGAGGCGAUGAAAGACGUGGUAGCCUGCGAAAAGCUUCGGGGAGUCGGCAAACAGACUGUGAUCCGGAGAUGUCUGAAUGGGGGAACCCAGCCAUCAUAAGAUGGUUAUCUUGUACUGAAUACAUAGGUGCAAGAGGCGAACCAGGGGAACUGAAACAUCUAAGUACCCUGAGGAAAAGAAAUCAACCGAGAUUCCCUUAGUAGUGGCGAGCGAACGGGGACCAGCCCUUAAGUUGUAUUGAGAUUAGCGGAACGUUCUGGAAAGGACGGCCAUAGUGGGUGAUAGCCCUGUACGCGAAAAUCCCUUUGCAAUGAAAUCGAGUAGGACGGGGCACGAGAAACCUUGUCUGAAUAUGGGGGGACCAUCCUCCAAGGCUAAAUACUACUGACUGACCGAUAGUGAACCAGUACCGUGAGGGAAAGGCGAAAAGAACCGCGGAGAGCGGAGUGAAAUAGAUCCUGAAACCGUAUGCGUACAAGCAGUGGGAGCCCACUUUGUUGGGUGACUGCGUACCUUUUGUAUAAUGGGUCAGCGACUUAUUUUCAGUGGCGAGCUUAACCGAAUAGGGGAGGCGUAGCGAAAGCGAGUCUUAAUAGGGCGUCUAGUCGCUGGGAAUAGACCCGAAACCGGGCGAUCUAUCCAUGGGCAGGUUGAAGGUUGGGUAACACUAACUGGAGGACCGAACCGACUACCGUUGAAAAGUUAGCGGAUGACCUGUGGAUCGGAGUGAAAGGCUAAUCAAGCUCGGAGAUAGCUGGUUCUCCUCGAAAGCUAUUUAGGUAGCGCCUCAUGUAUCACUGUAGGGGGUAGAGCACUGUUUCGGCUAGGGGGUCAUCCCGACUUACCAAACCGAUGCAAACUCCGAAUACCUACAAGUGCCGAGCAUGGGAGACACACGGCGGGUGCUAACGUCCGUCGUGAAAAGGGAAACAACCCAGACCGUCAGCUAAGGUCCCAAAGUCAUGGUUAAGUGGGAAACGAUGUGGGAAGGCUUAGACAGCUAGGAGGUUGGCUUAGAAGCAGCCACCCUUUAAAGAAAGCGUAAUAGCUCACUAGUCGAGUCGGCCUGCGCGGAAGAUGUAACGGGGCUCAAACCAUGCACCGAAGCUACGGGUAUCAUCUUUUGAUGAUGCGGUAGAGGAGCGUUCUGUAAGCCUGUGAAGGUGAGUUGAGAAGCUUGCUGGAGGUAUCAGAAGUGCGAAUGCUGACAUGAGUAACGACAAUGGGUGUGAAAAACACCCACGCCGAAAGACCAAGGUUUCCUGCGCAACGUUAAUCGACGCAGGGUUAGUCGGUCCCUAAGGCGAGGCUGAAAAGCGUAGUCGAUGGAAAACAGGUUAAUAUUCCUGUACUUCUGGUUAUUGCGAUGGAGGGACGGAGAAGGCUAGGCCAGCCUGGCGUUGGUAGUCCAGGUUUAAGGUGGUAGGCUGAGAUCUUAGGUAAAUCCGGGAUCUUAAGGCCGAGAGCUGAUGACGAGUGUUCUUUUAGAACAUGAAGUGGUUGAUGCCAUGCUUCCAAGAAAAGCUUCUAAGCUUCAGGUAACCAGGAACCGUACCCCAAACCGACACAGGUGGUUGGGUAGAGAAUACCAAGGCGCUUGAGAGAACUCGGGUGAAGGAACUAGGCAAAAUGGCACCGUAACUUCGGGAGAAGGUGCGCCGGUGGAGGUGAAGCAUUUACUGCGUAAGCCCCUGCCGGUCGAAGAUACCAGGCCGCUGCGACUGUUUAUUAAAAACACAGCACUCUGCAAACACGAAAGUGGACGUAUAGGGUGUGACGCCUGCCCGGUGCCGGAAGGUUAAUUGAUGGGGUUAGCGCAAGCGAAGCUCUUGAUCGAAGCCCCGGUAAACGGCGGCCGUAACUAUAACGGUCCUAAGGUAGCGAAAUUCCUUGUCGGGUAAGUUCCGACCUGCACGAAUGGCGUAACGAUGGCGGCGCUGUCUCCACCCGAGACUCAGUGAAAUUGAAAUCGCUGUGAAGAUGCAGUGUAUCCGCGGCUAGACGGAAAGACCCCGUGAACCUUUACUAUAGCUUUGCACUGGACUUUGAAUUUGCUUGUGUAGGAUAGGUGGGAGGCUUUGAAGCGUGGACGCCAGUCUGCGUGGAGCCAACCUUGAAAUACCACCCUGGCAACUUUGAGGUUCUAACUCAGGUCCGUUAUCCGGAUCGAGGACAGUGUAUGGUGGGUAGUUUGACUGGGGCGGUCUCCUCCUAAAGAGUAACGGAGGAGUACGAAGGUGCGCUCAGACCGGUCGGAAAUCGGUCGUAGAGUAUAAAGGCAAAAGCGCGCUUGACUGCGAGACAGACACGUCGAGCAGGUACGAAAGUAGGUCUUAGUGAUCCGGUGGUUCUGUAUGGAAGGGCCAUCGCUCAACGGAUAAAAGGUACUCCGGGGAUAACAGGCUGAUACCGCCCAAGAGUUCAUAUCGACGGCGGUGUUUGGCACCUCGAUGUCGGCUCAUCACAUCCUGGGGCUGAAGCCGGUCCCAAGGGUAUGGCUGUUCGCCAUUUAAAGUGGUACGCGAGCUGGGUUUAGAACGUCGUGAGACAGUUCGGUCCCUAUCUGCCGUGGACGUUUGAGAUUUGAGAGGGGCUGCUCCUAGUACGAGAGGACCGGAGUGGACGAACCUCUGGUGUUCCGGUUGUCACGCCAGUGGCAUUGCCGGGUAGCUAUGUUCGGAAAAGAUAACCGCUGAAAGCAUCUAAGCGGGAAACUUGCCUCAAGAUGAGAUCUCACUGGAACCUUGAGUUCCCUAAAGGGCCGUCGAAGACUACGACGUUGAUAGGUUGGGUGUGUAAGCGCUGUGAGGCGUUGAGCUAACCAAUACUAAUUGCCCGUGAGGCUUGACCAU